Molecule: ribosomal RNA, 289 nt
Filed under: uncultured delta proteobacterium
Lineage: Bacteria; Deltaproteobacteria
Description: partial 16S ribosomal RNA
Rfam family: Bacterial small subunit ribosomal RNA
Source: RNAcentral
GAAAGCUAUAUGCGCCAGGGGAGCNGCGGCCCAUUAUCUAAUCCUAGUUGGUAGGGUAACGGCCUACCAAGGGUACGAUGGGUAGCUGGUCUGAGAGGAUGAUCAGCCACACUGGGACUGAGACACGGCCCAGACUCCUACGGGAGGCAGCAGUGGGGAAUAUUGCGCAAUGGGCGAAAGCCUGNNNNNNNNACGCCGCGUGAGUGAUGAAGGCCUUCGGGUUGUAAAGCUCUGUCGGGAGGGACGAAGNNAGCUUGCUGCUUGACGGUACCUCGCAAGAAAGCANCGC